RNAcentral lists this ribosomal RNA (253 nucleotides) under uncultured bacterium. RNAcentral's name for it is "partial 16S ribosomal RNA". It matches the Rfam family "Bacterial small subunit ribosomal RNA", at positions 524 to 776 of the family's 1533-position model. The record is from RNAcentral.
UACGUAGGGUGCGAGCGUUAAUCGGAAUUACUGGGCGUAAAGCGUGCGCAGGCGGUUUGAUAAGUCAGAUGUGAAAGCCCCGGGCUCAACCUGGGAACUGCGUUUGAAACUAUCAGACUGGAGUAUGGCAGAGGGGGGUAGAAUUCCACGUGUAGCAGUGAAAUGCGUAGAGAUGUGGAGGAAUACCAAUGGCGAAGGCAGCCCCCUGGGUCAAUACUGACGCUCAUGCACGAAAGCGUGGGGAGCAAACAGG